UGUUAAACCAUUAUAAUCAAAUGCCUU
This 27-nucleotide small RNA is filed under the name Bombyx mori (domestic silkworm). RNAcentral's name for it is "ovarian small RNA-35977". The record is from RNAcentral. Lineage: Eukaryota; Metazoa; Arthropoda; Insecta; Lepidoptera; Bombycidae.